GAAAUGCGAUAAGUAAUGUGAAUUGCAGAAUUCAGUGAAUCAUCGAAUUUUUGAACGCACAUUGCGCCCGCUAGUAUUCUGGCGGGCAUGCCUGUUCGAGCGUCAUUUCAACCAUCAAGCUCUAAGCUUGUGUUGGGGCCCUGCAGCUACCGCAGCCCUCUAAAAGCAGUGGCGGGCUCGCUGUCACACCGAGCGUAGUAGCAUACAUUCUCGCUCAGGGCGUGCUGCGGGUUCCGGCCGUUAAACGACCUUCAUAACCCAAGGUUGACCUCGGAUCAGGUAGGAAGACCCGCUGAACUUAAGC
This 304-nucleotide unclassified non-coding RNA is filed under the name plant metagenome. Its description in RNAcentral is "partial contains 5.8S ribosomal RNA, internal transcribed spacer 2, and large subunit ribosomal RNA". The stretch from base 1 to 105 matches the Rfam family "5.8S ribosomal RNA", at positions 50 to 154 of the family's 154-position model. The record is from RNAcentral.